GACGAACGCUGGCGGCGUGCCUAACACAUGCAAGUCGAACGGAACUAUUUUGAAGGAUCUCUUCGGAGUGACGGAUUUUUAGUUUAGUGGCGGACGGGUGAGUAACACGUGAGUAACCUGCCUCUGGGAGGGGAAUAACGUUCUGAAAAGAACGCUAAUACCGCAUAACAUAUAUUUGCCGCAUGACAGAUAUAUCAAAAGAUUUUAUCGCUCAGAGAUGGACUCGCGUCCGAUUAGUUAGUUGGUGAGGUAACGGCUCACCAAGACCGCGAUCGGUAGCCGGACUGAGAGGUUGAUCGGCCACAUUGGGACUGAGACACGGCCCAG
RNAcentral lists this ribosomal RNA (327 nucleotides) under uncultured bacterium. RNAcentral describes it as "bacterial SSU rRNA". It matches the Rfam family "Bacterial small subunit ribosomal RNA", at positions 28 to 334 of the family's 1533-position model. The record is from RNAcentral.